GGAAGGAGCUGCAUUUUCAGAUUUUCCCAUGCUUCAAAGGCCAGAGAGCUGGAGAGGACAGUCAUCAAAUGGAGAAAAAUCUUCUGAUUGACAGUAAGAAGGAAGUCACACUGGGAAACCUGGGGUGUAGUCAGCACUGAUCUUUUCCUUUCUGCCAAACACCUUGGAAGGACAAGGUUAGAAUUCUGAAGAGAAAGAUGAGGAAGACCCUUAGGAGAAUUAUUUCCAUGAGAAAAUAAGGGUGAAGCUGGCAUGAAAGACAAUUCCUAAGAGACACAAGAACAAGAGCUGGAAAUUUGUCUCCUAGUAGUCAUGGGGGAUGAAGAAGUGGCAAUUCUCAAAGACUGUCUAGCAGGAGGUCUGGAUUCCAACGAGAUCGUAAAAAAGGAGACGGGACCCACUUAUACAAAAACAUUUAUAGCGGUUCUUUUUGUGGUGGCAAAGAACUGGAAAUUGAAGGGAUACCCAUCUGUUGGGGAAUGGAAUGGCUGAACAAACUGUGGUACAUGUUAGUGGUGGAAUGCUAUUGUACUAUAAGAAAUGAUAAGCAGGAUGAUUUCAGAAAAAGCAGGAAAGAGCUAUAUGACAUGAUGCAGAGCGAAAUCAGCAGAACCAGGAGAUAGAUACAC
Molecule: long non-coding RNA, 629 nt
Filed under: Monodelphis domestica (gray short-tailed opossum)
Lineage: Eukaryota; Metazoa; Chordata; Mammalia; Didelphimorphia; Didelphidae
Description: lncRNA (ENSMODG00000042334.1)
Source: RNAcentral